CGCACCUUGCGCUCCUUGGUAUUCCGAGGAGCAUGCCUGUUUGAGUGUCGUGAAAUCCUCAAGCCGUGCCGUUUGCUGUUUACAGUUCGGUACGGUUUGGACUUGGGGGUCUAUCGAUGUCGUCCUCGCGGAUGGCUCCCCUGGAAUGCAUUGGCUCGAGGUUGGCUCGUGGCGGUUCACGGCGUGAUAAGAAAUGAAAGUUACGUCCUGAUAAUCCCGCGGCGCGUCAGAUGGCCUCGGGCUGGCCGGCGACGAUCUCUUUUGAUGUCGUGCACUCUUUGACUUUGACCUCAAAUCAGGCAGGACUACCCGCUGAACUUAA
RNAcentral lists this unclassified non-coding RNA (322 nucleotides) under Skvortzovia furfurella. Its description in RNAcentral is "partial contains 5.8S ribosomal RNA, internal transcribed spacer 2, and large subunit ribosomal RNA". Lineage: Eukaryota; Fungi; Basidiomycota; Agaricomycetes; Hymenochaetales. The record is from RNAcentral.